RNAcentral lists this ribosomal RNA (538 nucleotides) under uncultured soil bacterium. RNAcentral's name for it is "bacterial SSU rRNA". It matches the Rfam family "Bacterial small subunit ribosomal RNA", at positions 799 to 1337 of the family's 1533-position model. The record is from RNAcentral.
GCCCUAAACGAUGGAUACUAGUUGUCGGACUACCUAAUAAGUUCGGUAACGUAGCUAACGCGUUAAGUAUCCCGCCUGGGAAGUACGGUCGCAAGAUUAAAACUCAAAGGAAUUGACGGGGGCCCGCACAAGCGGUGGAACAUGUGGUUCAAUUCGAUGCUACGCGAAAAACCUUACCUGGGCUUGACAUCCCGCGCUAUCCUGCGAAAGCAGGGGUUCUCUUCGGAGACGCGGAGACAGGUGCUGCAUGGCUGUCGUCAGCUCGUGUUGUGAGAUGUUGGGUUAAGUCCCGCAGCGAGCGCAACCCUCGUCCCUAGUUACCAUCAUUUAGUUGGGCACUCUAGGGAGACCGCUUGGCCAUAAGCCAGAGGAAGGUGGGGACGACGUCAAGUCAUCAUGGCCCUUAUGUCCAGGGCUACACACGUGUUACAAUGGGGGGUACAAAGCGCAGCAAGCUCGCAAGAGCAAGCCAAUCGCAAAAAACCUCUCUCAGUUCGGAUUGGAGUCUGCAACUCGACUCUAUGAAGCUGGAAUCCUA